GGAAAUGUACAAUUUAGAAAGAAAAAAAAAGCUGUGAAUUAAAUUAAUAACAAAGCCAAAAUAUCUUCUUUAAUAAUAUAACUUCUUUUGUUUUUUUGCGAGUUACGAAAAAAGAUCACUUUUAAACGGCAUGUUUAUAACUGCACCACAGCUGUCUGCUUGAAUUUUGUAAAGGCGCUAUUAACGGACGCCUAAAGGUAGGUCCUACUCAGGAUAUAUAAACCGCCACACAGCGGGCGGAAAAGCCCUCAGUCUGUCGUGGUAGAAGCUGAUGCACUAUGUGUGGGUAAGUGUUUGGUUUCAUUGUUAAGCAUGUAACGUAUUUAUUGUUUUACCAGGAAUUUAUGUCGUAAUAAUCAUAGUCAUAAGACUACUAUAAGCUAAUGCGUCUUUUAUUCAAGUUGUGUAGUCAGCGCUACUAUCACCACGUGGCGCGCGUGGAUGUACCUCAUGUGAGCUCAUGGUGUGCUUGGUUAUUUGCAUGAAUAAGAUAUUUGGCUUUUGUUAACGUUAGCCUUACCUGUGGACAUCUGCUCCUUUUUUUUGUUUUAUUUAUUUUUUUCUCUUUUCUCAGAAGAUCGAGUAUGCCAGGACUCUUCCCUGCAACUCUUUGAGAGUCUGGAAUCUGGUGACAUUAUGUGAGUGUGGCUUGUGGAUGAGCUUCUGCGUGUCUACAAAUACUACUUGAUGUGUGAAAUGUAUUUAUUUUCUUGACUAUACAAAUGCUAGUAACGUUUGUAAUUUAUUUGUAGCUCUUGUGUACUUUUAUUUUGUAAGUUUGCUCCUUUUUACUAUUAAAUGAGACUUUGAAA
Molecule: long non-coding RNA, 812 nt
Organism: Onychostoma macrolepis
Lineage: Eukaryota; Metazoa; Chordata; Actinopteri; Cypriniformes; Cyprinidae
Exons: 2
Source: RefSeq, a predicted model, not a curated record